RNAcentral lists this ribosomal RNA (1385 nucleotides) under metagenome. RNAcentral describes it as "bacterial SSU rRNA". It matches the Rfam family "Bacterial small subunit ribosomal RNA". The record is from RNAcentral.
AGAGUUUGAUCCUGGCUCAGGAUGAACGCUGGCGGCGUGCUUAACACAUGCAAGUCGAACGAACCUUAGGGUUAGUGGCGGACGGGUGAGUAACGCGUGAGAAUCUGCCCUCAGGAGGGGGAUAACGGCUGGAAACGGCCGCUAAUACCCCAUAUGCCGAGAGGUGAAAUGAAUUUCGCCUGAGGAUGAGCUCGCGUCUGAUUAGCUAGUUGGUGGGGUAAGAGCCUACCAAGGCAUCGAUCAGUAGCUGGUCUGAGAGGAUGAUCAGCCACACUGGGACUGAGACACGGCCCAGACUCCUACGGGAGGCAGCAGUGGGGAAUUUUCCGCAAUGGGCGAAAGCCUGACGGACCAACGCCGCGUGAGGGAUGAAGGCCUCUGGGCUGUAAACCUCUUUUAUCAAGGAAGAAGAUCUGACGGUACUUGAUGAAUAAGCCACGGCUAAUUCCGUGCCAGCAGCCGCGGUAAUACGGGAGUGGCAAGCGUUAUCCGGAAUUAUUGGGCGUAAAGCGUCCGCAGGCGGCCUGAUAAGUCUGUUGUCAAAGCGUGGAGCUCAACUCCAUUUCGGCAAUGGAAACUGUGAGGCUUGAGUGUGGUAGGGGCAGAGGGAAUUCCCGGUGUAGCGGUGAAAUGCGUAGAUAUCGGGAAGAACACCAGUGGCGAAGGCGCUCUGCUGGGCCAUAACUGACGCUCAUGGACGAAAGCCAGGGGAGCGAAAGGGAUUAGAUACCCCUGUAGUCCUGGCCGUAAACGAUGAACACUAGGUGUCGGGGGAAUCGACCCCCUCGGUGUCGUAGCCAACGCGUUAAGUGUUCCGCCUGGGGAGUACGCACGCAAGUGUGAAACUCAAAGGAAUUGACGGGGGCCCGCACAAGCGGUGGAGUAUGUGGUUUAAUUCGAUGCAACGCGAAGAACCUUACCAGGGUUUGACAUCCUGCGAAUCCCUUGGAAACUUGGGAGUGCCUUCGGGAGCGCAGAGACAGGUGGUGCAUGGCUGUCGUCAGCUCGUGUCGUGAGAUGUUGGGUUAAGUCCCGCAACGAGCGCAACCCACGUCUUUAGUUGCCAGCAUUGAGUUGGGCACUCUAGAGAGACCGCCGGUGAUAAACCGGAGGAAGGUGUGGAUGACGUCAAGUCAUCAUGCCCCUUACAUCCUGGGCUACACACGUACUACAAUGCUACGGACAAAGGGCAGCAAACUCGCGAGAGCUAGCAAAUCCCAUAAACCGUGGCUCAGUUCAGAUCGUAGGCUGCAACUCGCCUACGUGAAGGAGGAAUCGCUAGUAAUCGCAGGUCAGCAUACUGCGGUGAAUACGUUCCCGGGCCUUGUACACACCGCCCGUCACACCAUGGAAGUUGGCCACGCCCGAAGCCGUUACUCCAACCC